Molecule: ribosomal RNA, 768 nt
Filed under: Shewanella sp. 1_MG-2023
Lineage: Bacteria; Pseudomonadati; Pseudomonadota; Gammaproteobacteria; Alteromonadales; Shewanellaceae
Description: partial 23S ribosomal RNA
Rfam family: Bacterial large subunit ribosomal RNA
Source: RNAcentral
CUUCGUCGCUAGAUGGAGUGGAGUCAAUCUUGAAAUACCACCCUUGUAGUUUUGAUGUUCUAACCGCGGCCCCUUAUCGGGGUUCGGGACAGUGCCUGGUGGGUAGUUUGACUGGGGCGGUCUCCUCCCAAAGAGUAACGGAGGAGCACGAAGGUUGGCUAAGUACGGUCGGACAUCGUACGGUUAGUGCAAUGGCAUAAGCCAGCUUAACUGCGAGACAUACACGUCGAGCAGGUACGAAAGUAGGUCAUAGUGAUCCGGUGGUUCUGUAUGGAAGGGCCAUCGCUCAACGGAUAAAAGGUACUCCGGGGAUAACAGGCUGAUACCGCCCAAGAGUUCAUAUCGACGGCGGUGUUUGGCACCUCGAUGUCGGCUCAUCACAUCCUGGGGCUGAAGUCGGUCCCAAGGGUAUGGCUGUUCGCCAUUUAAAGUGGUACGCGAGCUGGGUUCAGAACGUCGUGAGACAGUUCGGUCCCUAUCUGCCGUGGGCGUUGGAUGAUUGAAGGAAGCUGCUCCUAGUACGAGAGGACCGGAGUGGACGAACCGCUGGUGUUCGGGUUGUUAUGCCAAUAGCAUUGCCCGGUAGCUACGUUCGGAAUCGAUAACCGCUGAAAGCAUCUAAGCGGGAAGCGAGUCCUAAGAUGAGUCAUCCCUAGGAAUUUAAUUCCUCUAAAGAGCCGUUCGAGACUAGGACGUUGAUAGGCAGGGUGUGUAAGCGUUGUGAGGCGUUGAGCUAACCUGUACUAAUGACUCGUGAGGCUUAACCAU